RNAcentral lists this ribosomal RNA (586 nucleotides) under uncultured bacterium. RNAcentral's name for it is "bacterial SSU rRNA". It matches the Rfam family "Bacterial small subunit ribosomal RNA", at positions 102 to 683 of the family's 1533-position model. The record is from RNAcentral.
ACGGGUGAGUAAUGCUUAGGAAUCUGCCUAUUAGUGGGGGACAACAUUCCGAAAGGAAUGCUAAUACCGCAUACGCCCUACGGGGGAAAGCAGGGGAUCUUCGGACCUUGCGCUAAUAGAUGAGCCUAAGUCAGAUUAGCUAGUUGGUGGGGUAAAGGCCUACCAAAGCGACGAUCUGUAGCGGGUCUGAGAGGAUGAUCCGCCACACUGGGACUGAGACACGGCCCAGACUCCUACGGGAGGCAGCAGUGGGGAAUAUUGGACAAUGGGCGAAAGCCUGAUCCAGCCAUGCCGCGUGUGUGAAGAAGGCCUUUUGGUUGUAAAGCACUUUAAGCGAGGAGGAGGCUACUGAGAUUAAUACUCUUGGAUAGUGGACGUUACUCGCAGAAUAAGCACCGGCUAACUCUGUGCCAGCAGCCGCGGUAAUACAGAGGGUGCGAGCGUUAAUCGGAUUUACUGGGCGUAAAGCGUGCGUAGGCGGCUUUUUAAGUCGGAUGUGAAAUCCCUGAGCUUAACUUAGGAAUUGCAUUCGAUACUGGGAAGCUAGAGUAUGGGAGAGGAUGGUAGAAUUCCAGGUGUAGCGGUG